Molecule: ribosomal RNA, 253 nt
Filed under: uncultured bacterium
Lineage: Bacteria
Description: partial 16S ribosomal RNA
Rfam family: Bacterial small subunit ribosomal RNA
Source: RNAcentral
GACGUAGGGCGCGAGCGUUGUCCGGAUUUAUUGGGCGUAAAGAGCGUGUAGGCGGCCAGGUAGGUCUGCUGUGAAAACUCGAGGCUCAACCUCGAGACGUCGGCGGAAACCAUCUGGCUAGAGUCCGGAAGAGGAGAGUGGAAUUCCUGGUGUAGCGGUGAAAUGCGCAGAUAUCAGGAGGAACACCGGUGGCGAAGGCGGCUAUCUGGACAGAAACUGACGCUGAGGCGCGAAAGCUAGGGGAGCAAACAGG